Molecule: ribosomal RNA, 478 nt
Filed under: uncultured bacterium
Lineage: Bacteria
Description: bacterial SSU rRNA
Rfam family: Bacterial small subunit ribosomal RNA
Source: RNAcentral
AGGACGAACGGCUGGCGGCGUGCCUAACACAUGCAAGUCGAGCGGGGUUGAAGCGAGGGGUAACUCGAGUUUCUACCUAGCGGCGGACGGGUGAGUAACGCGUGGGCAACCUGCCUCAAGGACUGGGAUAACAGCUCGAAAGGGCUGCUAAUACCGGAUAAGCCUAUGGCCUCGCAUGGGGCCAUGAGCAAAGGGGAAACCCGCCUUGAGAUGGGCCCGCGUCCCAUCAGCUAGUUGGUGAGGUGAAGGCUCACCAAGGCGACGACGGGUAGCCGGCCUGAGAGGGUGACCGGCCACACUGGGACUGAGACACGGCCCAGACUCCUACGGGGGGCAGCAGUGGGGAAUCUUGCACAAUGGGCGAAAGCCUGAUGCAGCGACGCCGCGUGAGCGAAGAAGGCCUUCGGGUUGUAAAGCUCUGUCUGGAGGGACGAAGGAAGUGACGGUACCUCCGGAGGAAGCCACGGCUAACUACGUG